ACUUAAAUAGCUUAUGUAGAGCACAACACUGAAGAUGUUGAGGAAGUUUAUUAACUUUUAAGUA
This 64-nucleotide transfer RNA is filed under the name Anabrus simplex (Mormon cricket). RNAcentral's name for it is "tRNA-Phe". It matches the Rfam family "tRNA". Rfam says of the family: Transfer RNA (tRNA) molecules are approximately 80 nucleotides in length. Their secondary structure includes four short double-helical elements and three loops (D, anti-codon, and T loops). The record is from RNAcentral. Lineage: Eukaryota; Metazoa; Arthropoda; Insecta; Orthoptera; Tettigoniidae.